Molecule: ribosomal RNA, 492 nt
Filed under: uncultured bacterium
Lineage: Bacteria
Description: partial 16S ribosomal RNA
Rfam family: Bacterial small subunit ribosomal RNA
Source: RNAcentral
AUUGAACGCUGGCGGCAUGCUUUACACAUGCAAGUCGAACGGUAACAGGCCUUCUGGUGCUGACGAGUGGCGAACGGGUGAGUAAUGCAUCGGAACGUGCCCAGUGGCGGGGGAUAACGCAUCGUAAGCUGUGCUAAUACCUCAUGUGCUCUGAGGAUGAAAGCGGGGGACCAGGCAGCAAUGUUUGGCCUCGCGCCUUUGUAGCGGCCGAUGUCAGAGUAGGUAGGUGGGGGGGUAAAGGCCUACCAAGCCGACGAUCUGUAGCUGGUCUGAGAGGACGACCAGCCACACUGGGACUGAGACACGGCACAGACUCCUACGGGAGGCAGCAGUGGGGAAUCUUGCACAAUGGGCGCAAGCCUGAUCCAGCAAUGCCGCGUGCGGGAAGAAGGCGUUCGGGUUGUAAACCGCUGUUGUACGGAACGAAAAGGCUCUGGCUAAUACCUGGGGCUGAUGACGGUACCGGAAGAAUAAGCACCGGCUAACUACGUG